RNAcentral lists this ribosomal RNA (254 nucleotides) under uncultured bacterium. Its description in RNAcentral is "partial 16S ribosomal RNA". It matches the Rfam family "Bacterial small subunit ribosomal RNA", at positions 524 to 776 of the family's 1533-position model. The record is from RNAcentral.
CACGUAGGGUGCGAGCGUUGUCCGGAAUUAUUGGGCGUAAAGAGCUCGUAGGCGGUGUGUCGCGUCGGCCGUGAAAACCUGCAGCUUAACUGUGGGCUUGCGGUCGAUACGGGCAUCACUGGAGUUCGGCAGGGGAGACUGGAAUUCCUGGUGUAGCGGUGAAAUGCGCAGAUAUCAGGAGGAACACCGGUGGCGAAGGUGGGUCUCUGGGCAUUAACUGACGCUGAGGAGCGAAAGCAUGGGGAGCGAACAGG